UACGUAGGGGGCUAGCGUUGUCCGGAAUCAUUGGGCGUAAAGCGCGUGUAGGCGGUCCGGUAAGUCCGCUGUGAAAGUCGGGGGCUCAACCCUCGGAUGCCGGUGGAUACUGUCGGGCUUGAGUACGGAAGAGGCGAGUGGAAUUCCUGGUGUAGCGGUGAAAUGCGCAGAUAUCAGGAGGAACACCAAUUGCGAAGGCAGCUCGCUGGGACGUUACUGACGCUGAGACGCGAAAGCGUAGGGAGCAAACAGG
RNAcentral lists this ribosomal RNA (253 nucleotides) under uncultured bacterium. Its description in RNAcentral is "partial 16S ribosomal RNA". It matches the Rfam family "Bacterial small subunit ribosomal RNA", at positions 524 to 776 of the family's 1533-position model. The record is from RNAcentral.